CAGGACCUGGCUUCCCACUGCCUGUAGUGUGUCCCUUACAAACUCUUGAACUUUGUUCUGUCUAGUGAGAGACCUGCCUCUCCUGCCCCAAAGCUCUGCUGCCUCACCAUGAAUGGGGUGAGACUUGACCUUUGGAGGUGACUAUAACUGAAGAUUGAAUUACUGAAGCCAAAAAAAAUAAAUAAAUAAAAGGUUCCCGUGUCAGUGGCUAUGAUGACACCUCAGGUUAUCACUCCUCAACAAAUGCAGCAGAUCCUCCAGCAGCAAGUGCUGAGCCCACAGCAGCUCCAGGUUCUCCUCCAGCAACAGCAGGCCCUCAUGCUUCAACAGCAGCUUCAAGAAUUUUACAAGAAACAACAGGAACAGUUGCAGCUUCAACUCCUCCAACAGCAACAUGCUGGAAAACAGCCGAAAGAGCAGCAGCAGCAGCAGGUGGCUACCCAGCAGUUGGCUUUCCAGCAGCAGCUUCUUCAGAUGCAGCAGCUGCAGCAGCAGCACCUCCUGUCUCUCCAGCGGCAAGGCCUUCUAACAAUUCAGCCCGGGCAGCCUGCCCUUCCCCUCCAACCUCUUGCUCAAGGCAUGAUUCCAACGGAACUGCAGCAGCUCUGGAAAGAAGUGACAAGUGCCCACACUGCAGAGGAAACCACAGGCAGCAACCACAGCAGCCUAGACCUGACCAGCACAUGCGUCUCGUCCUCCGCACCUUCCAAGACCUCCCUAAUCAUGAACCCACACGCCUCUACCAAUGGACAGCUCUCGGUCCACACCCCCAA
This 773-nucleotide long non-coding RNA is filed under the name Rattus norvegicus (Norway rat). RNAcentral's name for it is "long non-coding RNA NONRATT021672". The record is from RNAcentral. Lineage: Eukaryota; Metazoa; Chordata; Mammalia; Rodentia; Muridae.